Molecule: ribosomal RNA, 252 nt
Filed under: uncultured bacterium
Lineage: Bacteria
Description: partial 16S ribosomal RNA
Rfam family: Bacterial small subunit ribosomal RNA
Source: RNAcentral
UACGUAGGGGGCUAGCGUUGCCGGAUUUAUUGGGCGUAAAGAGCGUGUAGGCGGCCAGGUAGGUCUGCUGUGAAAACUCGAGGCUUAACCUCGAGAUGUCGGCGGAAACCAUCUGGCUAGAGUCCGGAAGAGGAGAGUGGAAUUCCUGGUGUAGCGGUGAAAUGCGCAGAUAUCAGGAAGAACACCCGUGGCGAAGGCGGCUCUCUGGGACGGUACUGACGCUGAGACGCGAAAGCGUGGGGAGCGAACAGG